Molecule: ribosomal RNA, 253 nt
Filed under: uncultured bacterium
Lineage: Bacteria
Description: partial 16S ribosomal RNA
Rfam family: Bacterial small subunit ribosomal RNA
Source: RNAcentral
UACAGAGGGUGCGAGCGUUGUUCGGAAUUACUGGGCGUAAAGGGCGCGUAGGCGGCGACUCUAGUCAGAUGUGAAAGUCCUGGGCUUAACCUGGGGACUGCAUUUGAUACUGGGUUGCUUGAAUUCGGGAGAGGAUAGCGGAAUUCCCAGUGUAGAGGUGAAAUUCGUAGAUAUUGGGAAGAACACCGGUGGCGAAGGCGGCUAUCUGGACCGACAUUGACGCUGAGGCGCGAAAGCGUGGGGAGCAAACAGG